RNAcentral lists this ribosomal RNA (429 nucleotides) under Actinomycetes bacterium. Its description in RNAcentral is "Actinobacteria bacterium partial 16S ribosomal RNA". It matches the Rfam family "Bacterial small subunit ribosomal RNA", at positions 355 to 776 of the family's 1533-position model. The record is from RNAcentral. Lineage: Bacteria; Bacillati; Actinomycetota; Actinomycetes.
UAGGGAAUCUUCCGCAAUGGGCGAAAGCUUGACGGAGCAACGCCGCGUGAGUGAUGAAGGUCUUCGGAUCGUAAAACUCUGUUAUUAGGGAAGAACAAAUGUGUAAGUAACUAUGCACGUCUUGACGGUACCUAAUCAGAAAGCCACGGCUAACUACGUGCCAGCAGCCACGGUAAUACGUAGGUGGCAAGCGUUAUCCGGAAUUAUUGGGCGUAAAGCGCGCGUAGGCGGUUUUUUAAGUCUGAUGUGAAAGCCCACGGCUAAACCGUGGAGGGUCAUUGGAAACUGGAAAACUUGAGUGCAGAAGAGGAAAGUGGAAUUCCAUGUGUAGCGGUGAAAUGCGCAGAGAUAUGGAGGAACACCAGUGGCGAAGGCGACUUUCUGGUCUGUAACUGACGCUGAUGUGCGAAAGCGUGGGGAUCAAACAGG